CUGACCUCAGAUCAGGCAAGACUACCCGCUGAGUUUAAGCAUAUCACUAAGCGGAGGAAAAGAAACUAACAAGGAUUCCCCUUGUAGCGGCGAGCGAACCGGGAGAAGCCCAGCUUGAAAAUCGCGCCGUUUUUCGCGGCGCGAGUUGUAGUCUGGAGAAGCGUCCUCUGUUGCGGACUCGGCCCAAGUCCCCUGGAAAGGGGCGUCAGAGAGGGUGAGAACCCCGUCGGGCUGAGACCCUGCAGCUCCACGAGGCGCUGUCGACGAGUCGGGCUGUUUGGGAAUGCAGCCCUAAGCGGGAGGUAAAUUCCUUCCAAGGCUAAAUAU
This 327-nucleotide ribosomal RNA is filed under the name Marchantia romanica. RNAcentral's name for it is "25S ribosomal RNA". It matches the Rfam family "Eukaryotic large subunit ribosomal RNA", at positions 1 to 323 of the family's 3401-position model. The record is from RNAcentral. Lineage: Eukaryota; Viridiplantae; Streptophyta; Marchantiopsida; Marchantiales; Marchantiaceae.